This 73-nucleotide transfer RNA is filed under the name Microscilla marina ATCC 23134. It matches the Rfam family "tRNA". Rfam says of the family: Transfer RNA (tRNA) molecules are approximately 80 nucleotides in length. Their secondary structure includes four short double-helical elements and three loops (D, anti-codon, and T loops). Lineage: Bacteria; Pseudomonadati; Bacteroidota; Cytophagia; Cytophagales; Microscillaceae. The record is from Rfam by way of RNAcentral.
UGCGUCAUAGUUCAACGGAAGAGAAUACCUGGUUUCGACCCAGAUGAUGAAGGUUCGACUCCUUCUGACGCAA